CGAAGGAGGCUAGCGUUGCUCGGAAUUACUGGGCGUAAAGGGCGCGUAGGCGGCUUCAUUAGUCAGGCGUGAAAAUCCUGGGCUUAACCUGGGGACUGCGCUUGAUACGGUGAGGCUUGAGGAUGGAAGAGGCUCGUGGAAUUCCCAGUGUAGAGGUGAAAUUCGUAGAUAUUGGGAAGAACACCGGUGGCGAAGGCGGCGAGCUGGUCCAUUACUGACGCUGAGGCGCGACAGCGUGGGGGAGCAAACAGGAUU
This 255-nucleotide ribosomal RNA is filed under the name uncultured bacterium. RNAcentral's name for it is "partial 16S ribosomal RNA". It matches the Rfam family "Bacterial small subunit ribosomal RNA", at positions 526 to 779 of the family's 1533-position model. The record is from RNAcentral.